This 492-nucleotide ribosomal RNA is filed under the name uncultured bacterium. RNAcentral describes it as "partial 16S ribosomal RNA". It matches the Rfam family "Bacterial small subunit ribosomal RNA", at positions 29 to 507 of the family's 1533-position model. The record is from RNAcentral.
AGUGAACGCUGGCGGUAGGCCUAACACAUGCAAGUCGAACGGCAGCACAGUAAGAGCUUGCUCUUACGGGUGGCGAGUGGCGGACGGGUGAGGAAUACAUCGGAAUCUACUUUUUCGUGGGGGAUAACGUAGGGAAACUUACGCUAAUACCGCAUACGACCUACGGGUGAAAGCAGGGGAUCUUCGGACCUUGCGCGAUUGAAUGAGCCGAUGUCGGAUUAGCUAGUUGGCGGGGUAAAGGCCCACCAAGGCGACGAUCCGUAGCUGGUCUGAGAGGAUGAUCAGCCACACUGGAACUGGGACACGGUCCAGACUCCUACGGGAGGCAGCAGUGGGGAAUAUUUGACAAUGGGCGCAAGCCUGAUCCAGCCAUACCGCGUGGGUGAAGAAGGCCUUCGGGUUUUAAAGCCCUUUUGUUGGGAAAGAAAAGCAGCAGGUUAAUACCCCGCUGUUCUGACGGUACCCAAAGAAUAAGCACCGGCUAACUUCGUG